UGGUUGAACACUGUGGCAAAAUAACUGGAUACAUAGUUAGAAAUAUAUUCUGAAAAGUUGCUAAACUGUAAUUUGUUACUCUGUGAUACUUAUAUAAAUUAUAUGAAAUGCUUUACGUUUAAUACACAAUUAUGCUCGUAAAUAUCUUGUUUAUUUGUCAGUAAACUUACACGAUAAUAGUCCAGUCUGGUCUCUGGUUGUUGGUGUCAUAAGACUGUCUCAUGAGAGAAUAGACCCUCUUGCUAUGCGUAGGCGAGAGACUAUUUGAUUGUCAGACAGUAAUAUUCAUUUGUGCGAUAGUCUGUUUGUACCAGUCCUUCGGUUCCACUUCCUUAGUGCUAGUUUAUAUGUCAACUUUAGAGGUUCUGCCUCUAACUUACAGAGAUAAUCUGUUCUAUAAACUACAUGACAGGAGUGUGUUGAUUUCCACAGACUAGAGCGUAUCUAAAUACCCCCUUACAAUUUUCAUCUCCUCCCCCGAUUUAAAUAUUUAUACGUUUAAUUCUUGAGGUUAAAGAUAGUGAGGUGUUUUAAUCCCUUCAACCUAAUUGAACUCUUCCACCUUAGAUAAUAACUUCCGAAUAUAAAGUACACCCGCGUUUAAACCAUUCUCCGUUUUGUUUUAGACUAGUAAUUCUAGUCUAUUGAGG
RNAcentral lists this long non-coding RNA (650 nucleotides) under Mytilus galloprovincialis (Mediterranean mussel). Lineage: Eukaryota; Metazoa; Mollusca; Bivalvia; Mytilida; Mytilidae. The record is from RNAcentral.